CCCUGGCAGUCAGAGGCGAUGAAGGACGUGCUAAUCUGCGAUAAGCGUCGGUGAGGUGAUAUGAACCGUUAUAACCGGCGAUUUCCGAAUGGGGAAACCCAGUGUGUUUCGACACACUAUCAUUAACUGAAUCCAUAGGUUAAUGAGGCGAACCGGGGGAACUGAAACAUCUAAGUACCCCGAGGAAAAGAAAUCAACCGAGAUUCCCCCAGUAGCGGCGAGCGAACGGGGAGGAGCCCAGAGCCUGAAUCAGUGUGUGUGUUAGUGGAAGCGUCUGGAAAGGCGCGCGAUACAGGGUGACAG
Molecule: ribosomal RNA, 303 nt
Filed under: Escherichia coli
Lineage: Bacteria; Pseudomonadati; Pseudomonadota; Gammaproteobacteria; Enterobacterales; Enterobacteriaceae
Description: partial 23S ribosomal RNA
Rfam family: Bacterial large subunit ribosomal RNA
Source: RNAcentral